RNAcentral lists this ribosomal RNA (506 nucleotides) under uncultured bacterium. RNAcentral's name for it is "partial 16S ribosomal RNA". It matches the Rfam family "Bacterial small subunit ribosomal RNA", at positions 28 to 523 of the family's 1533-position model. The record is from RNAcentral.
GAUGAACGCUAGCUACAGGCUUAACACAUGCAGGUCGAGGGGUAACGAGAGGAAAGCUUGCUUUCCUUGUCGACGACCGGCGCACGGGUGAGUAACGCGUAUCCAACCUGCCCCCAACUAGGGAAUAACCUUGCGAAAGUAAGACUAAUACCCUAGAAUUUCCUCAGAUGUCAUCUGACGAGGAAUAAAGAUUUAUCGGUUGUGGAUGGGGAUGAGUCUGAUUAGCUUGUUGGUGGGUUAACGGCCCACCAAGGCAACGAUCAGUAGGGGAUCUGAGAGGAAGGUCCCCCACAUUGGAACUGAGACACGGUCCAAACUCCUACGGGAGGCAGCAGUGAGGAAUAUUGGUCAAUGGGCGGAAGCCUGAACCAGCCAAGUAGCGUGCAGUAUGACGGCCCUAUGGGUUGUAAACUGCUUUUAUACAGGAAUAAAGUUAACCACGUGUGGUUAUUUGUAGGUACUGUAUGAAUAAGGACCGGCUAAUUCCGUGCCAGCAGCCGCCGUAA